GAUGAACGCUGGCGGCGUGCCUAAUACAUGCAAGUCGAGCGAACAGAUGAGGAGCUUGCUCCUCUGACGUUAGCGGCGGACGGGUGAGUAACACGUGGAUAACCUACCUAUAAGACUGGGAUAACUUCGGGAAACCGGAGCUAAUACCGGAUAAUAUCUUGAACCGCAUGGUUCAAUAGUGAAAGACGGUUUUGCUGUCACUUAUAGAUGGAUCCGCGCCGCAUUAGCUAGUUGGUAAGGUAACGGCUUACCAAGGCAACGAUGCGUAGCCGACCUGAGAGGGUGAUCGGCCACACUGGAACUGAGACACGGUCCAGACUCCUACGGGAGGCAGCAGUAGGGAAUCUUCCGCAAUGGGCGAAAGCCUGACGGAGCAACGCCGCGUGAGUGAUGAAGGUCUUCGGAUCGUAAAACUCUGUUAUUAGGGAAGAACAAAUGUGUAAGUAACUAUGCACGUCUUGACGGUACCUAAUCAGAAAGCCACGGCUAACUACGUG
Molecule: ribosomal RNA, 497 nt
Filed under: uncultured bacterium
Lineage: Bacteria
Description: partial 16S ribosomal RNA
Rfam family: Bacterial small subunit ribosomal RNA
Source: RNAcentral